AUUGAACGCUGGCGGCAUGCCUAACACAUGCAAGUCGAGCGGGUUAAGGUAGCUUGCUCCUGGGUUCAGCGACGGACGGUGGAGUAAGGCCUAGGAAUCGGCCUGCUAGUGGGGGAUAACGUCCGCAAACGGGCGGUAAUACCGCAUCCGUCCUGAUAGAGAAAGAGGUGGUUCUUCGGACUUCACUCUAUCAGAUAAGCCUAGGGCGGAUUAGUUAGUUGGUGGCGUAAAGGCCUACCAAGGCGACGAUCCGUAACUGGUCUGAGGGGAUGAUCAGUCACACUGGACCUGAGACACGGUCCAGACUCCUACGGCAGGCAGCAGUGGGGAAUAUUGGCCAAUGGGAGCAAGCCUGAUCCAGCCAUGACGCGUGUGUGCAGAAGGUCUUCGGAUUGUAAAGAACUUUAAGUUGGGCGGAAGGGAAGUAAGUUACUAACUUGAUGUUUUGACGUUAACAACAGAAUAAGGCCCGGCUAACUUAGUG
RNAcentral lists this ribosomal RNA (484 nucleotides) under uncultured bacterium. Its description in RNAcentral is "partial 16S ribosomal RNA". It matches the Rfam family "Bacterial small subunit ribosomal RNA", at positions 30 to 507 of the family's 1533-position model. The record is from RNAcentral.